Molecule: ribosomal RNA, 858 nt
Filed under: Varicellaria rhodocarpa
Lineage: Eukaryota; Fungi; Ascomycota; Lecanoromycetes; Pertusariales; Pertusariaceae
Description: LSU rRNA
Rfam family: Bacterial large subunit ribosomal RNA
Source: RNAcentral
ACAGAAUUGUGGUCUCAAAAAACUUGCAUAAAAGUGCAUUUUUUAGAUUGGGGGGGUGUGAAAACCCUAUUCGUGGGUACUUGUGCUCGGAAGGGCUAUGAUGAGUAUUGAAUAAUCAGACAUAGUACGAUAAGGUUGUAUGUCUAAAGGGAAACAGCCCAGAACAAGAGUUAAUAAGGUUCCAAAAUUAUUGUUAAGUGAAAAUAAGGUAGUGUUUAUCUAAUUCGUCCAGGAAAUAGGCUUAGAAGCGGCCAUUUUUUGAAGAUCUCGUAACAGAGCACUGGUUAAGUAACUCUUCUUGAAAGAGUGACAUUGAUAAAGGCACCGAAAAUUUAACGGAUCUAAACAAUAUACCGAGACCUUGUCCAUAAUAGUUAUAUAUUUUAUAAAUAUAUUAUAUUUAUGGGGUAGCAGAACAUAGGGCAAAUCUUAGACUUUUUCUUAUUAAGGAUAAAAAAUAGAUAACCCUAGAGAUAAUGCUGACAUGAGUAACGAUAAAGGGAAAACCCCUCGCCUAAAGCUUAUGGUAUUCUUAAAGUAACGGCCUCUAAGUUUAUAUUUGCUUUCUAUUAAUAGUAUUACUUUUUAAUUAAUAUAAUGAUAUUAGUUAGAUCAUACCUAGAUAAGCUGUUAGUAGUUAGCAAUUCCUAAAGGAUUAAACGAUGAGAAAAUCUAGUAGAGUUUAUUGAUAAAUAACCUUUGUGCACAAUCACCAGUCAGUAUGAGAUUGGGUUUGUGUAAAGUGACAAAGUGUUCUGGAAAAACCUUAAACUUGUGUUAAUAACCGUGCCUAGAAACUGCCMCCGGUAAGUUAGUAGAGAAUACGAAGGCGNUUGAGUGAACAAUCAUUAAGACUGG